Molecule: ribosomal RNA, 491 nt
Filed under: uncultured bacterium
Lineage: Bacteria
Description: bacterial SSU rRNA
Rfam family: Bacterial small subunit ribosomal RNA
Source: RNAcentral
GAUGAACGCUAGCGGCAGGCUUAACACAUGCAAGUCGAGGGGCAGCACGGGUAGCAAUACCUGGUGGCGACCGGCGCAAGGGUGCGUAACGCGUGAGCAACAUGCCCUAUACAGGGGGAUAAUCCAGGGAAACUUGGUCUAAUAUCCCAUAGUAUUUAGAGGAGGCAUCUUCUAUAAAUUAAAGCUUCGGUGGUAUAGGAUUGGCUCGCGUGACAUUAGCUAGAUGGUGAGGUAACGGCUCACCAUGGCAAUGAUGUCUAGGGGUUCUGAGAGGAAGGCCCCCCACACUGGGACUGAGACACGGCCCAGACUCCUACGGGAGGCAGCAGUAGGGAAUAUUGCGCAAUGGGGGAAACCCUGACGCAGCGACGCCGCGUGAGUGAUGAAGGCCUUUCUGGUUGUAAAGCUCUGUAAGGAGGGAAGAAUGUCAGGCAGUAACGUGUCUGAGUGACGGUACCUCCGGAGUAAGGACCGGCUAAAUACGUGCCAGC